UACGAAGGAUUCGAGCGUUAUCCGGAUUUAUUGGGUUUAAAGGGUGCGUAGGUGGAUUAAUAAGUCAGUGGUGAAAGCCCGGAGCUCAACUCCGGAACUGCCAUUGAUACUGUUAGUCUUGAGUACAGUUGAGGUGGGCGGAAUGUGUCAUGUAGCGGUGAAAUGCUUAGAUAUGACACAGAGCACCGAUUGCGAAGGCAGCUCACUAAGCUGUAACUGACACUGAGGCACGAAAGCGUGGGGAGCAAACAGG
RNAcentral lists this ribosomal RNA (253 nucleotides) under uncultured bacterium. Its description in RNAcentral is "partial 16S ribosomal RNA". It matches the Rfam family "Bacterial small subunit ribosomal RNA", at positions 524 to 776 of the family's 1533-position model. The record is from RNAcentral.